AUUGAACGCUGGCGGCAGGCCUAACACAUGCAAGUCGAACGGUAACAGGAAGAAGCUUGCUUCUUUGCUGACGAGUGGCGGACGGGUGAGUAAUGUCUGGGAAACUGCCUGAUGGAGGGGGAUAACUACUGGAAACGGUAGCUAAUACCGCAUAACGUCGCAAGACCAAAGAGGGGGACCUUCGGGCCUCUUGCCAUCGGAUGAGCCCAGAUGGGAUUAGCUAGUAGGUGGGGGAACGGCUCACCUAGGCGACGAUCCCUAGCUGGUCUGAGAGGAUGACCAGCCACACUGGAACUGAGACACGGUCCAGACUCCUACGGGAGGCAGCAGUGGGGAAUAUUGCGCAAUGGGCGCAAGCCUGAUGCAGCCAUGCCGCGUGUAUGAAGAAGGCCUUCGGGUUGUAAAGUACUUUCAGCGGGGAGGAAGGGAGUAAAGUUAAUACCUUUGCUCAUUGACGUUACCCGCAGAAGAAGCACCGGCUAACUCCGUG
RNAcentral lists this ribosomal RNA (490 nucleotides) under uncultured bacterium. RNAcentral's name for it is "partial 16S ribosomal RNA". It matches the Rfam family "Bacterial small subunit ribosomal RNA", at positions 30 to 507 of the family's 1533-position model. The record is from RNAcentral.